GACGAACGCUGGCGGCGUGCUUAACACAUGCAAGUCGAACGAUGAAGCUGGAGCUUGCUCCGGUGGAUUAGUGGCGAACGGGUGAGUAACACGUGAGUAAUCUGCCCUUGACUCUGGGAUAACUGCGGGAAACUGUAGCUAAUACCGGAUACGACACCUUCGGGCAUCCGAUGGGUGUGGAAAGAAUUUCGGUCAAGGAUGAACUCGCGGCCUAUCAGCUAGUUGGUGAGGUAAUGGCUCACCAAGGCGACGACGGGUAGCCGGCUCGGGAGGGUGACCGGCCAAGCUGGGACUGAGAGACGGCCCGGACUCCUACGGGAGGCAGCAGUGGGGAAUAUUGCACAAUGGGCGAAAGCCUGAUGCAGCAACGCCGCGUGAGGGAUGAAGGCCUUCGGGUUGUAAACCUCUUUUAGUUGGGAAGAAGCGAAAGUGACGGUACCAACAGAAAAAGCACCGGCUAACUACGUGCCAGCAGCCGCCGUAA
This 484-nucleotide ribosomal RNA is filed under the name uncultured bacterium. Its description in RNAcentral is "partial 16S ribosomal RNA". It matches the Rfam family "Bacterial small subunit ribosomal RNA", at positions 28 to 523 of the family's 1533-position model. The record is from RNAcentral.